This 467-nucleotide ribosomal RNA is filed under the name uncultured bacterium. Its description in RNAcentral is "bacterial SSU rRNA". It matches the Rfam family "Bacterial small subunit ribosomal RNA", at positions 28 to 507 of the family's 1533-position model. The record is from RNAcentral.
GAUGAACGCUAGCGGCAGGCCUAACACAUGCAAGUCGAGGGGCAUCGCGGUGCAGCAAUGCACUGGCGGCGACCGGCGUACGGGUGCGUAACGCGUAUGCAACCUGCCCCGCACCGGGGGAUAGCCCCGCCGAAAGGCGGAUUAAUACCCCAUGGUCCCGGGGGCCCGCAUGGGCAUCCGGGUAAAGCCUUGGCGGUGCGGGAUGGGCAUGCGUGCCAUUAGCUGGCUGGUGGGGUAACGGCCCACCAGGGCAACGAUGGCUAGGGGGUCUGAGAGGAUGGUCCCCCACACUGGUACUGAGACACGGACCAUACACCUACGGGUGGCAGCAGUAGGGAAUAUUGGUAAUGCGCGAAAGCGUGAACCAGCAACGCCGCGUGUGCGAUGAAGGCCUUCGGGUUGUAAAGCACUUUUCGGGAGGAAGAGGAAGGACUGUACUCCCAGAAUAAGCCUCGGCUAACUACGUG